This 200-nucleotide long non-coding RNA is filed under the name Elaeis guineensis (African oil palm). Its description in RNAcentral is "long non-coding RNA (EGUI_LNC022041)". The record is from RNAcentral. Lineage: Eukaryota; Viridiplantae; Streptophyta; Magnoliopsida; Arecales; Arecaceae.
AAUCCUAUUUCCAUUCCUAUUUGGAAGACAAUAUACAAUUUUCAAUCUCUCAAUAUUUAAUUUAUAUUUCUAUUCUGAUUUGGAUUUCGAUCACAAAUCACAUGUAUCGGAGGAUAUGAUCAUUCUGAUUUUAUAUCAACUUUUGUUGCAAAUCAAAUGCAUCCUUAACUACCAAAAGCACAUUGGAAGUUAUGAGGACG